This 800-nucleotide ribosomal RNA is filed under the name uncultured bacterium. RNAcentral describes it as "bacterial SSU rRNA". It matches the Rfam family "Bacterial small subunit ribosomal RNA", at positions 80 to 876 of the family's 1533-position model. The record is from RNAcentral.
CUCCUUGGGUGACGAGUGGCGGACGGGUGAGUAAUGUCUGGGAAACUGCCCGAUGGAGGGGGAUAACUACUGGAAACGGUAGCUAAUACCGCAUAACGUCGCAAGACCAAAGAGGGGGACCUUCGGGCCUCUUGCCAUCGGAUGUGCCCAGAUGGGAUUAGCUAGUAGGUGGGGUAACGGCUCACCUAGGCGACGAUCCCUAGCUGGUCUGAGAGGAUGACCAGCCACACUGGAACUGAGACACGGUCCAGACUCCUACGGGAGGCAGCAGUGGGGAAUAUUGCACAAUGGGCACAAGCCUGAUGCAGCCAUGCCGCGUGUGUGAAGAAGGUCUUCGGAUUGUAAAGCACUUUAAGUUGGGAGGAAGGGCAGUAAGUUAAUACCUUGCUGUUUUGACGUUACCGACAGAAUAAGCACCGGCUAACUUCGUGCCAGCAGCCGCGGUAAUACGAAGGGUGCAAGCGUUAAUCGGAAUUACUGGGCGUAAAGCGCACGCAGGCGGUUUGUUAAGUCAGAUGUGAAAUCCCCGGGCUCAACCUGGGAACUGCAUCUGAUACUGGCAAGCUUGAGUCUCGUAGAGGGGGGUAGAAUUCCAGGUGUAGCGGUGAAAUGCGUAGAGAUCUGGAGGAAUACCGGUGGCGAAGGCGGCCCCCUGGACGAAGACUGACGCUCAGGUGCGAAAGCGUGGGGAGCAAACAGGAUUAGAUACCCUGGUAGUCCACGCCGUAAACGAUGUCGACUUGGAGGUUGUGCCCUUGAGGCGUGGCUUCCGGAGCUAACGCGUUAAGUCGACCGCCUGG